This 634-nucleotide long non-coding RNA is filed under the name Mytilus galloprovincialis (Mediterranean mussel). The record is from RNAcentral. Lineage: Eukaryota; Metazoa; Mollusca; Bivalvia; Mytilida; Mytilidae.
GUUCAAAGAACAAUUGAAGGUCUUUCAACUAAUAAAGAUCUAUUUUGAUAUGAAAAUAUUAAAAUUCAGUUGAAAAUGUCAGUUCCUAUGGCUUUUUGAUGUAUAAAUAUGAAUUUAAAGCAAAGGUCAAAAUCUAGAACGUCAAAUUAACCUUUGACCUUGACCUUAAUUUCAAGGUCAUAGACAAAACAUCUCGAAUCAAAAGACACUAGUUCCUUUAUAUGUAUGGUUCAUGAGUAAUAUCACUUUACGCAUAAUUCUAAAUAUAAGAGGGGCGGAAACUCCCAUUUGUUGUCUACGCACCCUUGCAACCAAAAUUCAUAAGUUACAACAUGUCGCAACUAACAAUUCAGUAAAAAUAAUUUGUCGAUAUCUUAUAAGGUUAAUGAAAAUAAGUGAAAAUAAGCCAAAAUCAAAAUUUAGAAUUUGACCUUGACCUUUGACCUUGACCUACUUUUCAUUUUUUUGGACCAAGGAUCUUAAAUCAAAAGACCCUAGGUCUCUAUCACUUAUGGUUUACCAGUUAGAAAUGCAAAUCACUUAUAUCAUAUAUAAAAGGGGGGAUAACUCUCAUAUGGAGUCUCCGGAUAGUUUCGGUCCAAAUGAAACAGAACAUCCUGAGGAUAUAACGAGC